Scylla paramamosain (green mud crab) is the source of this 2944-nucleotide long non-coding RNA. RefSeq lists it as uncharacterized. The record is from RefSeq and is a predicted model, not a curated record. NCBI's taxonomy places the organism in Eukaryota, Metazoa, Arthropoda, Malacostraca, Decapoda, Portunidae. The transcript is spliced from 6 exons.
AGCGUAAAUGGGUGGUAACAAGAGGAGGCAGAGUGGGAGCCGAAUGGGAUGUGAGAAAAUGGAAGAAUGAGAUAGACAAAGAAGUGAAAUGUGUGGGACUGAAUGAAUGGAAGAAUGAAAUGGAAAGAAAGAAGACCCUGGAAUGGUACAAGGAGAAAGAGGCCCCGAGGUAUGAAAGGUGGUAUGAUGGAAUCCUGGGCGGUGAUCUUCUCUUCCGAGCGAGGGCACAGUGUAUGGAUGUGGAAUGCAAGGAGUAACAGGUGGUCUGAGUCCCGCAGCAAAGUGUGCCAGAUGUGUGACAUGGGAGAGGAUGAGACGGUGGAACAUGUGGUGCUGGAGUGUGUGAAAUAUGCCAGAGACAGGAAUGAGAUGAUGCAAGUGAUACUGACUGAGUUAGGGCAUGAUAGGAAUGAAAGAGUGGAGAAGACAGGAAAGGAAUGGACUGUGUAGAGAGGCAAAUGAAAGGAUGAUUGAGGCGGUGGAAAGAGUUUCUGGAGAGAAUGUGGCGUGCCAGGUGUAUGAACAAUUAGGAUAGAGGAUGCUGUUCGUUUCUCUUUUUUUUUUUUUUUUCCCCUUUGUACAGGGGUUUGCCGAUCCAAAGGCCUGGCUCAAGAGUGAUCCUGUGCCGCCUGUACCAUCAAGAUCAAGAUCAAGAUCAGAUGGUGAGUCUGCUUACAAAAUUGCAUCGUAGGGAUUGAUAGGGGCAGCCACAAUUAUCCAUCAUCAUCAGCGACACCAUGCUCUGCGACACCAUGGCUCUUGAGAAGACAGACAGACCCUGAUGACAGCGUGGUGAGCGAGGAGGGGGAGUCAACCAGCAGAGUAGGGAAGCAUGACCCCUACUUUGAACCAGUGGUGACCUUGCUGGAGGUCUUCGUGGUUAGUGAUGACUGACCAGGAGGAGGAAAUGAUAAGACUGAGUUUCGAGGUCAGGUCAGGCAGUACAAGCUGUUUCAUUAUCACACCUCUGAGUCGCCCCCACAGUGGAAGGAACGGGGCAUGGGGGCCAUUAACAUUCUGAGGAACAAGCAGAAGGCUGUGGAGUUUGUUCAGCGGCAGAAUUAAUGCCAGUGGCUGAGUUCGGAUCCUCCAAGACACACACACACACACACACACACACACAGCAGCCCCUCCACCUCCCCACAGCCCUCCACAGCCCCUGACACAGCAUCUAACACAGCCCCUUCACAGAACACCACAUACCUCACACAUACAUAAGAACAUAAGAACAUAAGAAAUAAGGGGAAGCUGCAAGAAGCGACCAGGCUUACACGUGGCAGUCCCUGUAUGAAACACACCUACCUAUUUCCAUCUGCUAUCCCCAUCCAUAAACUUGUCUAAUCUUUCUCUUAAAGCUCUCUAGUGUCCUAGCACUAACAACAUGAUUACUGAGUCCGUUCCACUCAUCUACCACUCUUUUUGAGAACAAAUUUUUUCCUAUCUCCAUCCUAAACCCAAAUUUUUCAAGCUUGUACCCAUUAUUUCUUGUUCUACCCUGGUUGCUGAUCCUAAGAAUUUUGCCUACAUCCCCCUUGUUAUAACCCUUAUACCACUCAAAGACUUCUAUCAGGUCCCCUCUUAACCUACGUAUCUCUAAAGAAUGUAAAUUUAACAGCUUCAACCUCGCCUCGUAAGGAAUACUCCUCAUCCCCUGUAUCCUUUUAGUCAUUCUCCUCUGUACUGAUUCUAAUAGACCUAUAUCUUUCCUGUAAUGUGGGGACCAGAACUGCACAGCGUAGUCUAGAUGAGGUCUGACCAGCGCCAAGUAUAACUUUAAUACUACUUCCGGCCUUCUACUUUUAACACUCCUAAAAAAUCCCACACACCACAGGAGCCUCACAAACAGUCUGACAGCCUUCACAAGCAGCCCCACACUCCACCACAGACACGCCAGACCCACAGCCCUUCACCUCACCCACUUCCCAGCCCCCCACAAGCCCCCCAGCCACCACAAAUGAAGUCAAAGGAAGGGACUGUGGCUUCACCCAGCCAGCCAGGACAGCCUACAGAGAGGGGGUAGUCCCAGUCAAGUCACAAAAUAUAGGCUUGGUUCUUCCUACAGUUUGAAGUCAAUGAUUGGACAGGUGGUAACACGGAGAGGAAGUGGAAGAAAGCUUGGGACGCUCCCAUAACUCAGGAGCAAGAAAUACACCUUACUGGAAACCUUGUGACUGACAGGUGGCGGUGACUGCAGGAACCAAUUCAGAUGUCUGUCUUGUGUUGGCGAACGUCCUGUCUGCAGUCAGGCCAGUAGUGCCAUGUCGCAGGGUGUGACAUCAGGUGAAGAGCCAAAUGGAGAGUGUCUGCAGCCAGUACUGGGUGUGCUGAUGCUGUACAAGUGUCGAGCCAGGUGCCACAGCACAUGACUCCACCAGUGUAGUGUCUCUAGUCCAGGAUGCACUGCUGUGUACGACUUGUAUGUCUUUAUAAAUUUGUGACUAUUCUUAUUAUAUAUGUGAAAUAAAUAUAUAGUUUGCUAACAGUGUGGUAUAAUAGUGUAAAAAUAAAUAUUUGAUAACAAUUCAUGCAUGCCCCAAAGGUAAAAAAAAAAAAACAGGAUUGUGCCCUCUAAACUUUUAAGAUACCACUUGCACAUAGAAGCCCCAUCGCAGCGACUCCAGUGUCGGCUGGGAUGGGGCUUCUAUGUGCAAAUGGUAUCUUAAACUUAGUUUAGUAGCCAAUCCUGACUUUUUUUUUUUUUUUUACCUUGGGGGCAUGACCUGUACUCCCAGAAAGACUUUGCCAAAGAUAUUAUUGACAUGGCAUAAAUAACUAUCAUUGUUUUUUUUACCUUGAGGGCAUGACCUGUACUCCCAGAAAGACUAUUUGCCAAAGAUAUUAUUGACAUGGCAUAAAUAACUAUCAUUAUGUUCAAGAUGGUAUACUGAAUGUUUAUUGUUUUAAUGUGAAUGUUAAGUGAAUAAAUACACAACAAUAAUAUAAA